Molecule: ribosomal RNA, 245 nt
Filed under: uncultured bacterium
Lineage: Bacteria
Description: partial 16S ribosomal RNA
Rfam family: Bacterial small subunit ribosomal RNA
Source: RNAcentral
AACGUAGGUGGCAAGCGUUAUCCGGAUUUACUGGGCGUAAAGGGUGUGCAGGCGGAAGCCCAAGUGGUGUAUGAAAGCUCCCAGCUUAACUGGGAAGGGUUAUGCCAGACUGGGCAUCUAGAGUGUGGGAGAGGGACGUGGAAUUCCGGGUGUAGUGGUAAAAUGCGUAGAGAUCCGGAGGAACACCAGAGGCGAAGGCGGCGUCCUGGCCCAUAACUGACGCUCAUCCACGACAGCAUGGGGAG